GCGGCAGGCUUCAUACAUGCAAGUCGAGGGGCAGCAUAAAUUACUUGUAAUUUGAUGGCGACCGGCGAACGGGUGCGUAACGCGUAUGCAACUUACCUUUUACUAGAGAAUAGCCAAGAGAAAUUUUGAUUAAUGCUCUAUACACUUAUUAAUUCUCAUGAAUCUAUAAGAAAAGCUCCGGCGGUAAAAGAUGGGCAUGCGUCCUAUUAGCUUGUAGGUGAGGUAACGGCUCACCUAAGCUCCGAUAGGUAGGGGUCCUGAGAGGGAGAUCCCCCACACUGGUACUGAGACACGGACCAGACUUCUACGGAAGGCAGCAGUAAGGAAUAUUGGACAAUGGAGGCAACUCUGAUCCAGCCAUGCCGCGUGAAGGAAGACGGCCUUAUGGGUUGUAAACUUCUUUUAUACAGGAAGAAACCUUUCCACGUGUGGAAAGCUGACGGUACUGUAAGAAUAAGGAUCGGCUAACUCCGUGCCAGCAGCCGCGGUAAUACGGAGGAUCCAAGCGUUAUCCGGAAUUAUUGGGUUUAAAGGGUCCGCAGGCUGUUUGUUAAGUCAGAGGUGAAAUCCUACCGCUCAACGGUAGAACUGCCUUUGAUACUGGCAAACUUGAGUUAUUGUGAAGUAGUUAGAAUGUGUAGUGUAGCGGUGAAAUGCAUAGAUAUUACACAGAAUACCGAUUGCGAAAGCAGAUUACUAACAAUAUACUGACGCUGAGGGACGAAAGCGUGGGUAGCGAACAGGAUUAGAUACCCUGGUAGUCCACGCCGUAAACGAUGGUCACUAGCUGUUUGAUGUACAUUGGUACAUUGAGUGGCUAAGCGAAAGUGAUAAGUGACCCACCUGGGGAGUACGCU
This 857-nucleotide ribosomal RNA is filed under the name uncultured Flavobacteriaceae bacterium. RNAcentral describes it as "bacterial SSU rRNA". It matches the Rfam family "Bacterial small subunit ribosomal RNA", at positions 39 to 886 of the family's 1533-position model. The record is from RNAcentral. Lineage: Bacteria; Pseudomonadati; Bacteroidota; Flavobacteriia; Flavobacteriales; Flavobacteriaceae.